Molecule: ribosomal RNA, 774 nt
Filed under: uncultured Neocallimastigales
Lineage: Eukaryota; Fungi; Neocallimastigomycota; Neocallimastigomycetes; Neocallimastigales
Description: partial large subunit ribosomal RNA
Rfam family: Eukaryotic large subunit ribosomal RNA
Source: RNAcentral
AGAGAGAGACAUGCGUGCAUAUCAAUAAGCGGAGGAAAAGAAACUAACUAGGAUUCCCUCAGUAACGGCGAGUGAAGCGGGAAGAGCUCAAAUUUGAAAUCUUCAAGGUUCUACCUUGACGAAUUGUAGUUUAAAGAAGUGUUUUCUGUUGGAGUUUUGGUAAAAGUUCUUUGGAAUAGGACAUCAUAGAGGGUGAGAAUCCCGUAUUUGACCAUUAUUUCCAGCUUUGUGAUACACUUUCAAAGAGUCGGAUUGUUUGGGAAUGCAGUCCAAAAUGGGUGGUAAAUUUCAUCUAAAGCUAAAUAUUGGCGAGAGACCGAUAGCGAACAAGUACCGUGAGGGAAAGAUGAAAAGAGCUUUGAAAAGAGAGUUAAACAGUACGUGAAAUUGUCAAAAGGGAAGCGUUUGACACCAGUGUUGUUUUCUCGAAAAUCAAUUAAAAAAGGCAGGAUUUUGUGUUGUAUUGACUUUAUCAGCUUUCUGCGCUCUUUCCUUGUCUUUUUUAAUGCACUUUUCGUUUAACAAGUCAACAUCAAUUUCUUUUGUUGUAAAAGGGUCAUUGGAAGGUGGCUUUCUUUUCGGAGAAAGUGUUUAUAGCCUUUGGCCUCUGCAAUCGGAGAGAUUGAGGUCUGCAGCGUAGAUCCUUCGGGGUUAGAUACAUUUGUGCUAAGUUAUAGCCUUUCAUAGACAACUUGUUGACUAUGAUCAGUCAUGUAGCUUACUCGCUUAUGCUAUUUUACCUACGCUUAGGAUGUUGAUGUGAUACUGCGAGCA